AUGCUCAUUUCUGCAGCACAUAUACUAAAAUUGGAAUGAUACAGAGAAGAUUAACAUGGCCCCUGCGCAAGGAUGGCAGGCAAAUUUGUGAAGUGUUCCAUAUUUUU
RNAcentral lists this small nuclear RNA (107 nucleotides) under Octodon degus (degu). The record is from RNAcentral. Lineage: Eukaryota; Metazoa; Chordata; Mammalia; Rodentia; Octodontidae.